Molecule: long non-coding RNA, 987 nt
Organism: Syzygium oleosum
Lineage: Eukaryota; Viridiplantae; Streptophyta; Magnoliopsida; Myrtales; Myrtaceae
Exons: 2
Source: RefSeq, a predicted model, not a curated record
CUCUUCAAUGUCCCUCGAAGGCUUCCGAUAUUCCAAAAGAUAGUUUGGAAGAUAUCGGAGCCUUUGUAGGGACCUUGAAGGCUUACACCAUGUUUCUGUAGGAAAAUGGAAGCCUCAAGUGAAUUGGCGAAGUCCUAGGUAUCCCUCAAAGGCUUCCAAUAUUCCAUCAGUUGUAUUGGAAUGUUGGUUGCCUCUGAGGGAUAUUGAAGGCUUACUCCAUGUAGUUAAGUUUUGUUUCCCAUUGAGUUUAGUCGAUCAUGUGGAUGAAAGAACACAGAACAACUGAACCUAAAGUCUCAACUCUCUGGAGCUGAUGAGUAGUCCACACAAGUGCUCGUGGGCUGAAUUUCAGCCCCAAUGAAAGCUACAAGCAAGAACCUCAAAGAGUAAGUGCUGCUUCGUACGCAAUAGCCCUCAAUAAAACUAACAGACACAAAUUAGCAAGGUCAAGAGCUUCAGAUACAAGCUAGCCCUUCAGAAAUGAGAAAUCAGAUUAAACAGCUAGACCAGAUAAAGAGAGUUCUGCAAUUUUUGUGAAUCAUACCGAGAAAAAGACACUAUUCCUACCAAAUGAAAAGCAUAGGAAGCUGAUGUUUCUGAAAAAAGGAAGUCAAUUUCCUCAAUCCUGCAGGACCUGCACAAGCAGUUGAUCUUUCCUCUUCCACCGUCCGGCUGAUUAUUUGUUGUUUAUUAUACUUGGACACUUUGGACAACUUCUCUUAGAAUUAUCAUUCUCAGUCAUUCUCACCUGUCGUCGGUACAUCCUUUGAUGGUCCUCCCGAAGCAAAGGGUUGAUCUGAUGUCCCUUCAUGUGUUAUUCGGUGAGAUAAGGUUGGAUACAAGUCAUGCGAUAUUUCUCUAUCUUCUCCUUCAUCUCAUCCCUUUCAAAAUCAACGUUGAUCCCUAUUCGUACUUUCACCAUGAGCAGACCAAUAUUUGUAAGAUGUACCGAUUGUCCGAUCAAAUAGAUGCUUUUGCAUUCCAAAA